UACGGAGGGGGCUAGCGUUGUUCGGAAUUACUGGGCGUAAAGCGCACGUAGGCGGCUUUGUAAGUUAGAGGUGAAAGCCCGGAGCUCAACUCCGGAACUGCCUUUAAGACUGCAUCGCUUGAAUGUCGGAGAGGUAAGUGGAAUUCCGAGUGUAGAGGUGAAAUUCGUAGAUAUUCGCAAGAACACCAGUGGCGAAGGCGGCUCACUGGCCCGGUACUGACGCUGAGGCACGAAAGCGUGGGGAGCAAACAGG
This 253-nucleotide ribosomal RNA is filed under the name uncultured bacterium. RNAcentral describes it as "partial 16S ribosomal RNA". It matches the Rfam family "Bacterial small subunit ribosomal RNA", at positions 524 to 776 of the family's 1533-position model. The record is from RNAcentral.